UACGAAGGGGGCUAGCGUUGCUCGGAUUGACUGGGCGUAAAGGGCGCGUAGGCGGUUUGCAUAGUCAGACGUGAAAUUCCUGGGCUUAACCUGGGGGCUGCGUUUGAUACAUGCAGGCUUGAGUUCGGAAGAGGGGUCGUGGAAUUCCCAGUGUAGAGGUGAAAUUCGUAGAUAUUGGGAAGAGCACCGGUGGCGAAGGCGGCGACCUGGUCCGAUACUGACGCUGAGGCGCGAAAGCGUGGGGAGCAAACAGG
RNAcentral lists this ribosomal RNA (254 nucleotides) under uncultured bacterium. RNAcentral describes it as "partial 16S ribosomal RNA". It matches the Rfam family "Bacterial small subunit ribosomal RNA", at positions 524 to 776 of the family's 1533-position model. The record is from RNAcentral.